This 24-nucleotide microRNA is filed under the name Petromyzon marinus (sea lamprey). RNAcentral's name for it is "pma-miR-130d". Its record names the gene pma-miR-130d. The record is from miRBase by way of RNAcentral. Lineage: Eukaryota; Metazoa; Chordata; Hyperoartia; Petromyzontiformes; Petromyzontidae. RNAcentral also lists the same sequence under 1 other name.
CAGUGCAAUGUUGAAAAAGGGCAU